AGCGGACCAAAAUUGUCGUUAGCAGCGCUGGGAGAAAAAAAUCUCUCAGCUUCUUGUCAUUUUUGCUAGAUAUCUGGCCUUCCAGAAUCACAACAGCACACGGACCUUUGCCCCAUUGAAGCGUGUGCAUAAUUUUCGUGAUGUUGUCAGACCGCUUUGAUGAAUAGCCUAUAGAUCAAAUCAAGGAACGAUGUGACAACAUUGCCCCCACGGAUGCGGAAGGAACCCCGGAGGAGCCGUUCCUUUUGUGGCGAAAGACGACAUUGAAACUCUGCUACUGUACCUUCCAUCUCCGUUGUGUGCGAAUUUACCUUUAGGCCACUGAAUCUUAGGAAUAUGAUCUUACAAAUGGUAAUAAUGACAAUUUGUAUUUUUAUUUAAUUUAAAUGAGUAGCAUUUAUGUAACAUGUUUUUAAAAGUCAAUUAUAGCAAGCCUAAUCCAAUCAUAAAGCGAAGAGAGAAAUAAUUGUCUCCUCAAGGGCUUUUUGCUAGUUAACAAUAGAAUGAAUACAACAACCUACGGACAUAAUUUAUUGUUUGACAUUUUUUAAAAUACUUUUUUUAUGAUUAUACACAGAUACUUGAGCUGUGGAACAGAUCCUUGAGCUGUGUAAACAGAAAGCAAUAGUCCAACUCUUGACAAUUCUUUAAAAAAAAAGGUCAAAGAGAUUUUUGUUCAGAAAACCUUUAAUUGUAAUUAGAAUUACUUAUAAUGACAUAUUUCAAUAAAUAUUUAGUUAUAUACAGUUACAGCAGAAAUUGUACAUUCCUUUUUUUUUCUUUCAAAUUGCUAACAUUUUUGUACAAGCCAAAAAUAUCUGCCAUUGUGUUUAUAUUCAUGCAAAAUAUUCAGUGUUUUCACAUUUUAAUCAAAUAAAAAAAAAGGAUUUGCUGAACUUUUUUCCUUCUUCUGAAGUGCACUCUUGGAUUAUUAUCAUAACUGUAAUUAGCAAAUCAAGAUGUGCACUUUGUGCCAAUACACAAUAUUUAAGCAAGUAAAACUAAAUUAAGGCCAUUCCAACUUGUGUGCUAAAAAUGAAUAAAAAGACAUAAAUAGAAAUGUUUCUAUUUUUG
Molecule: long non-coding RNA, 1074 nt
Organism: Oncorhynchus tshawytscha (Chinook salmon)
Lineage: Eukaryota; Metazoa; Chordata; Actinopteri; Salmoniformes; Salmonidae
Source: Ensembl